Molecule: ribosomal RNA, 447 nt
Filed under: uncultured bacterium
Lineage: Bacteria
Description: partial 16S ribosomal RNA
Rfam family: Bacterial small subunit ribosomal RNA
Source: RNAcentral
AACGAACGCUGGCGGCAGGCUUAACACAUGCAAGUCGAGCGCCCCGCAAGGGGAGCGGCAGACGGGUGAGUAACGCGUGGGAAUCUACCCAUCACUACGGAACAACUCCGGGAAACUGGAGCUAAUACCGUAUACGUCCUUCGGGAGAAAGAUUUAUCGGUGAUGGAUGAGCCCGCGUUGGAUUAGCUAGUUGGUGGGGUAAUGGCCCACCAAGGCGACGAUCCAUAGCUGGUCUGAGAGGAUGAUCAGCCACACUGGGACUGAGACACGGCCCAGACUCCUACGGGAGGCAGCAGUGGGGAAUAUUGGACAAUGGGCGCAAGCCUGAUCCAGCCAUGCCGCGUGAGUGAUGAAGGCCCUAGGGUUGUAAAGCUCUUUCACCGGUGAAGAUAAUGACGGUAACCGGAGAAGAAGCCCCGGCUAACUUCGUGCCAGCCGCCGCCGUAA